AUCCCACGGUGUAAGACGACGAGUGUUUCUCACUGUUCUAUUAAUAAGCAUGGAAAAACUGACGAACGGAAACAGUGCGAUUAGGCGCCAUUGGAAAAUAUCGAAAUUGCUGAAAGUAGAACUUUUCACCGACUGGCAACACUAGCCACCGAGCAGGCGCAGGUGGCUAAUAGUUCACGCAUGACGCUACUUACUCAAAUUUUUCCGAAGUGCGGCAUUGCGGAAAGGAAACCUGUUUUCGGCAGGCCAUCGUGAAAAUUUAUCCCCAUAGGUUGCUUUUCUGUUCCCGCAGCAUGCGGUGCAUUUCUCGCCAGUUUCGUUCCCUACGGCAAUCUCUGUUUACUUUAAUGUUGUUUGUGCUAUUUCUCGAAUUCAUGAUUGGCAAUUUUACAGCCGGAAUAUGAAGUAGGCGGUAUGUAAUAAAUGCGAUUUCGAGAUGAUAUUUUUGAAUAUUUGCACACGUUUUUUUCGGGCAGUACUUCUCGGAUGGUUUACCCCUCGACGGUGCUGACGUGGUUUAUUUCUCACUAACACUCAGUCCUGCGUAGUGCAUGUACAAUCAAAACAAAGCGGAAUGUGCAGCCGAUACAAUUCACUUUCAAGUAGAGCGAGUAAAUUUUUCCCGGUAUGGAUCAGAAUAUGCCUGUACCGUGCGUGUACUUGACCGCUUUGUGACAGUUGAAUGUUACAGUCAGUGAAAUGGCCUGUGGUGUUAGUCUGUUGAAGCGGUUAACAUUCGAUUAAUUUUGUUUUUUUUUGCGUCUAUACACUUGUCAGCUUACAUUGUAUUAUGUUGCUUAUAAUAACGGCUCCGAGGUUAAUUGUACAAAACAUAUGCUAUUUUAACAGUAAAAACAUAAUAGGAAGAGGUCAAGCUGUCUUUUUUUUUCAAGCUGUACGCGAUGGACGAAAAAAACAACGCCAUUGUGACCUCGCGUCAUCAGCGCGCCUAUCGAACAGGGACGAGACAUCAACGGGAUGUAACGCAGACUCACCGCAUCCCGUUGGUCACCGCCAACGUGAUUUAUUUCAGUCCCAAUCGAGGUGAGAUGCACAUGUUUUUUUCCUUUCGACUGAUGUCCGCCGACUACGAUGCGAUAUAACCUUCACGUACCUUGAUAUUGAAAGAAAAACAAAAAAGUGCGUCAAAAUGGUGCUGUGUUUAUCAACUUCGAACAGGUGGACAACCAUGCGCCUACUUUGUUUUCGAGUUUUCGAAGCUGUGCAUGAAUGAGUGCCAUGAUUGCCGAAGAGGAAUGACGUUUUUCCAUAACUGAAUCUGGAAGGAAAUUGCUUUGAAUCUUAAACUUGUAAUGCUAAGUAAGCCGAAUUAUUUUCAGAUGUUUUUCACUAACCAACAGAAAAAUUUCAAAUAGACUAAUAUUGUCUACUGUCCGUGACAUUGUAACUGGUAUUAAUAACAGCACACUCAUCUUUUGAAAGUCUAUGAAAUUUUCACUAUUAAUGUGGGUUGUUUCCUAAGUAAAUGUGGUCAUUUAAUACCAUUCCAAAAACAUAAUGUAAUCAACAUUCAAUUAGAUCUAAAAAUAUAUGUACUAAAUCUUUUAUUGUGCAGAAAAAAAUUGCUUUGUUUAAAAAUAUAAUUUUUAAGGCAUACUGCUUAAGCUCAAAGAUGUCAAGGGCAUUUUCUAACUUUAAAUGUCGACUAACUUAAAACUUUCAUUAGGUAGUGUUGUAUUGUGAUGAUACAUUCAUCGAUAUCAUUCACGUAAAAAUUGUAUAAAAGGAGGCUUAAACAUAAGCCCUGAGGAAUACCCAUGUAGCUGAAUCGUAUUGUCGACAAACAUAGUGCAUGCGUUUCUCGGACAAUAGAUUAUACAGAAAGUUAUUCAAAACUUGCGAAAGACCAUACCGAUGCAACUUCACAGUGAGAUUUUUGAUGGAAACUGAAUCAAAGGCCAUUUGGAUGUCUAGGUAAAUGGAAGCCAUUUGUUCUUUACGAGCAAAUGCCAUUUGAAUUCCUGUUGAGAACAAUGCAAGAUAAUCGUUCAUACCUUCGCCCCUGCGGAAGCCAAAUUGUGUAUCUGAAAGUAAGCCAUUAGUCUGUACCCAAUUGUCUAGACAAAAGAGAUUCAUUUUUUCGAACAAUUUUCGGAUACAGUAAAGCAGAGCAAUCGACCGGUACGAAUUGUGAGCGGAGACUGGUUUCCCUGGUUUUCAAAUAGCUAACCCUCAGUUGUCUUCUGUCAGGUGGGACAAUAUUACACUCUAGGAACUUGUUGAAUUAAUUCAAGUCAGGCUGAUUUUUCAACAAGUUGAAUUGGAUUCCGCCUAAUCCUGGGGUUUCGUUGUAACAUGACAAGAGCGCAAAUGAGUUUUCCACCAUCGAAAACGGAGUUUCUUUCGCAUUCGUUUUCGUGACGCAGAGGGUCUUCUGUUUCGAAACAGAGUUGGGGCCUUUUAGAAUUUUAGCGAAAUCGAAUAUCCGGCGGUUUGCAUAUUCUUCGUUCCAAUUUAUGUUGUUUGUUUUUGUUGCGCAUUAGUCAGGUUGUGUUCCAAAGAGUGCUCAUUGAUUUAUCUUUUGAUAAUACGUCUAGAAACUGACGCCAGUACCCGCGUUUCUUAGCUGUUAUUAGGUUAAGCACUUGAAUAUCUACCGCCGCAUAUUUUUCCUAAUUAUCAGGUUUCAUUUUAAACACUGAAGCUCUCUACACGUUUAAACCUGAGUACUCUUUGUCCCACCACAGGUUGGGAGGACAGAUGUUAGUUUUCGCGCCGGAUACAUGUUUCGUCUGAGCUUGAGCCGCGGUAUCGAAAAUCAAGCCAGCCACUCUAUUUCUCUUACUCGGCCUCCAGAGAAAGUUGUUGAGUUCUUUCAAGUUUCUCAGAUAUCGCGGUCCCAUAGCUAUUCCAAUCAAUAUUUCGUGUAAGGUCAUACAAAACAUUGAUUGCCCCCGACGGUUUUAAUCUGCUUGUGAUUGAAAUUACUAUAGGUAAUUUUACAAGCUCCAAAUGUAAUUUGCACUCGGCUACCAAGUGCCACGGUUUGGAUUUAUAUGAAUCAAUUAUUCAACGAACAGUUAUUAGCUCCGUGGUUCAGUCGAGUAACCGAUGUGCUUGUGAUCUGAUGUUUCUCGGUUCAAGUCGCGAUGCUGCUAACGAACUUUUGUUUUUUAUUUCGUUGAAUUCAAGCCAUGUAAUUUUCAAAUCACAUAAUUUUACAUGUUCUUGAAUAAAAAUUUGUGCGAAAUAUGACGCUCCGAUUAUGUGCAUCUUAUAAGAUGUAAAAUUUCAAGAUUUUUUCGAACUGUAAACGGUAACUAGAUUGUUGAGUGAAGGGAUAAAUCCAGCGCAAUUUCGGAAGCUAACCAAGUUUCGCAAUGGAUCUUUUUUGUGAUUAUACUUCUACAACUCCACUGUAAUACAGUGAUCAAAUCCUUUACCUCGAUGAAUUAACCAUCGAAGAAUACGAUCGCUGAAAGAAGGGGCCAAUUUAGAUUAGUUUUAUUUUUCCUCGAGUAUAUCGAAUACAUAAAUUAUUCAGAACCCCACUAGAAAUGUUCCCGAAGAUUCUUUCGAAUCUGUUUUAUGGUCGUUAUAACAAAGAAUUUUAGAAAACAAAUAAGAAUUUCGUUAAAUUCCUACACAUCCUCAACUUUUUUUGAAUUCAUGUAUUUUUUUUAGGCAAGAGUGAUUGACGACAAAUUGUGUGUUUGGAAUGAUUCCCAUACUCAUACACACACAAAGAAUUAAAAUUGUGUUUCUAAAAGAAACGGAAAAUGGUGUUUCUGCUGGUUUAAGACGAAUAUUUUUAAGUUAAAAGUGUUUUUAUUUCAGUGAAGGCUAAUUGUAAAGUUUGAACUUUGGAAAUAAGAACCGUAAAAUAACCAAAAAGUACUGAUAGAAUGUGGUAGAAUCUUACAGUAUUACUUUAUCGGGAACUAGUAAAAUAUCAUCCAUCUAUGACAAGACCGUUGUGCAAAAGAUCAAUUUUUUUUCUUUCCUAAAAAUACGUUGUGAUAACCAAAAAUUAUUCGCGAAAAACAUUAUUAAGCAGUCCGAAAUGGAAUUCAUAUCGAUUUCUCAAAAAUGAAUAAACCGAUUUUCACCCACAUUCUAAUAAAACGUCAUUCCAUUUUUUUUCGACUAAUGUUCAAUUUUUGAGUUUGACCGGACAUGACGUUAUUACGAAAAAUUAAAAAAAAAACUUCUUCAAAUUACAUCAAAUGUUUUUUUGCGAUAAUCGGUUUCGGAUGUUUCAACGCUCAUGAGAUAGACACCAAUACGACUGUGUCCUGUAACCAAUUGGGUCACCGAAUCACCAAGAGCUGGAAUUAAAAUGGGUUAUUUUUUGCUUUAGCGAUAAUUAUUUAUCAUCUGAUCGUUCACAAGAAU
Molecule: long non-coding RNA, 4356 nt
Organism: Malaya genurostris
Lineage: Eukaryota; Metazoa; Arthropoda; Insecta; Diptera; Culicidae
Exons: 3
Source: RefSeq, a predicted model, not a curated record